RNAcentral lists this ribosomal RNA (253 nucleotides) under uncultured bacterium. RNAcentral describes it as "partial 16S ribosomal RNA". It matches the Rfam family "Bacterial small subunit ribosomal RNA", at positions 524 to 776 of the family's 1533-position model. The record is from RNAcentral.
UACGGGGGGGGCAAGCGUUGUUCGGAAUUACUGGGCGUAAAGGGUUCGUAGGUGGCUUGCUAAGUCAGACGUGAAAUCCCCGGGCUCACCCCGGGACCUGCAUCCCAAACUGCUGAGCUUGAGUACAGGAGAGGGUGGGGGAAUUCCAGGUGUAGCGGUGAAAUGCGUAGAUAUCUGGAGGAACACCGGUGGCGAAGGCGCCCACCUGGCCUGCUACUGACGCUGAUGCGCGAAAGCUAGGGGAGCAAACGGG